This 253-nucleotide ribosomal RNA is filed under the name uncultured bacterium. RNAcentral's name for it is "partial 16S ribosomal RNA". It matches the Rfam family "Bacterial small subunit ribosomal RNA", at positions 524 to 776 of the family's 1533-position model. The record is from RNAcentral.
UACGUAGGGGGCGAGCGUUGUCCGGAUUUAUUGGGCGUAAAGAGCGUGUAGGCGGCCAGGUAGGUCCGCUGUGAAAUCUCGAGGCUCAACUUCGAGCUGUCGGUGGAAACUGUCUGGCUAGAGUCCGGAAGAGGAGAAUGGAAUUCCUGGUGUAGCGGUGAAAUGCGCAGAUAUCAGGAAGAACACCCGUGGCGAAGGCGGUUCUCUGGGACGGUACUGACGCUGAGACGCGAAAGCGUGGGGAGCGAACAGG